AGAGCGAACGCUGGCGGCAGGCUUAACACAUGCAAGUCGAGCGGGCGUAGCAAUACGUCAGCGGCAGACGGGUGAGUAACGCGUGGGAACGUACCUUUUGGUUCGGAACAACACAGGGAAACUUGUGCUAAUACCGGAUAAGCCCUUACGGGGAAAGAUUUAUCGCCGAAAGAUCGGCCCGCGUCUGAUUAGCUAGUUGGUGAGGUAAUGGCUCACCAAGGCGACGAUCAGUAGCUGGUCUGAGAGGAUGAUCAGCCACAUUGGGACUGAGACACGGCCCAAACUCCUACGGGAGGCAGCAGUGGGGAAUAUUGGACAAUGGGCGCAAGCCUGAUCCAGCCAUGCCGCGUGAGUGAUGAAGGCCCUAGGGUUGUAAAGCUCUUUUGUGCGGGAAGAUAAUGACGGUACCGCAAGAAUAAGCCCGGCUAACUUCGUGCCAGCAGCCGC
Molecule: ribosomal RNA, 447 nt
Filed under: uncultured bacterium
Lineage: Bacteria
Description: SSU rRNA
Rfam family: Bacterial small subunit ribosomal RNA
Source: RNAcentral